This 106-nucleotide small nuclear RNA is filed under the name Vulpes vulpes (red fox). Its description in RNAcentral is "U4 spliceosomal RNA". It matches the Rfam family "U4 spliceosomal RNA". Rfam says of the family: U4 small nuclear RNA (U4 snRNA) is a component of the major U2-dependent spliceosome. The structure of U4 snRNA from yeast and human has been reported. The record is from Rfam by way of RNAcentral. Lineage: Eukaryota; Metazoa; Chordata; Mammalia; Carnivora; Canidae.
AGCUUUGCACAGUGGCAGUAUCAUAGCCAAUGAGGUUUAUCCGAGGCACGAUUAUUGCUAAUUAAAUAUCUCACAUAUUUAGGAUUUAAGUAGCUUUAAGCAGAAA